Long non-coding RNA from Hibiscus syriacus, 249 nucleotides. RefSeq lists it as uncharacterized. The transcript has 2 exons. The record is from RefSeq and is a predicted model, not a curated record. Lineage: Eukaryota; Viridiplantae; Streptophyta; Magnoliopsida; Malvales; Malvaceae.
AUCUCUAUACACACAGAAGAGAAGAGAAAAACAUGCCGCCACCAGGAUGGGGACCGCCGCCGGGGCCUCCUGCCGGCUGCUUUCAUUUCAUUUGUGGUGGUAUUUGCCGUCUUAUUUCAUCAUGUUUUUAUGUUCUUUGCUGCUGCUGCAUGCUGGAAAGCUGCUGUGGGCCACUGUUGGGCGGGCCACAUGGCCCACGACCUUUCUAAUUACGAUGCUCGUUUCACUUUUAAUUAACCCUGUUUCUCA